CCUACGGGCGGCAGCAGUGAGGAAUAUUGGUCAAUGGGCGGGAGACUGAACCAGCCAAGCCGCGUGAGGGAGGAAGGUACAGAGUAUCGUAAACCUCUUUUGUCAGGGAACAAAGGCGGGGACGUGUCCCCGGAUGAGUGUACCUGAAGAAAAAGCAUCGGUUAACUCCGUGCCAGCAGCCGCGGUAAUACGGAGGAUGCGAGCGUUAUCCGGAUUUAUUGGGUUUAAAGGGUGCGCAGGCGGUCUGUUAAGUCAGCGGUAAAAGCCCGGGGCUCAACCCCGGCCCGCCGUUGAAACUGGGCGUCUCGAGUGGGAGAGAGGUAUGCGGAAUGCGCGGUGUAGCGGUGAAAUGCAUAGAUAUCGCGCAGAACCCCGAUUGCGAAGGCAGCAUGCCGGUUCCAAACUGACGCUGAGGCACGAAAGCGUGGGUAUCGAACAGGAUUAGAUACCCCUGUAGUC
RNAcentral lists this ribosomal RNA (459 nucleotides) under uncultured bacterium. Its description in RNAcentral is "partial 16S ribosomal RNA". It matches the Rfam family "Bacterial small subunit ribosomal RNA", at positions 338 to 795 of the family's 1533-position model. The record is from RNAcentral.